UGGGGAAUAUUGCACAAUGGGCGCAAGCCUGAUGCAGCCAUGCCGCGUGUGUGUAGAAGGCCUUCGGGUUGUAAAGCACUUUCAGCGGGGAGGAAGGCGAUAAGGUUAAUAACCUUGUCGAUUGACGUUACCCGCAGAAGAAGCACCGGCUAACUCCGUGCCAGCAGCCGCGGUAAUACGGAGGGUGCAAGCGUUAAUCGGAAUUACUGGGCGUAAAGCGCACGCAGGCGGUCUGUCAAGUCGGAUGUGAAAUCCCCGGGCUCAACCUGGGAACUGCAUUCGAAACUGGCAGGCUAGAGUCUUGUAGAGGGGGGUAGAAUUCCAGGUGUAGCGGUGAAAUGCGUAGAGAUCUGGAGGAAUACCGGUGGCGAAGGCGGCCCCCUGGACAAAGACUGACGCUCAGGUGCGAAAGCGUGGGGAGCAAACAGG
Molecule: ribosomal RNA, 429 nt
Filed under: Chloroflexota bacterium
Lineage: Bacteria; Bacillati; Chloroflexota
Description: Chloroflexi bacterium partial 16S ribosomal RNA
Rfam family: Bacterial small subunit ribosomal RNA
Source: RNAcentral